Molecule: ribosomal RNA, 2904 nt
Filed under: Escherichia coli
Lineage: Bacteria; Pseudomonadati; Pseudomonadota; Gammaproteobacteria; Enterobacterales; Enterobacteriaceae
Description: 23S ribosomal RNA
Rfam family: Bacterial large subunit ribosomal RNA
Source: RNAcentral
GGUUAAGCGACUAAGCGUACACGGUGGAUGCCCUGGCAGUCAGAGGCGAUGAAGGACGUGCUAAUCUGCGAUAAGCGUCGGUAAGGUGAUAUGAACCGUUAUAACCGGCGAUUUCCGAAUGGGGAAACCCAGUGUGAUUCGUCACACUAUCAUUAACUGAAUCCAUAGGUUAAUGAGGCGAACCGGGGGAACUGAAACAUCUAAGUACCCCGAGGAAAAGAAAUCAACCGAGAUUCCCCCAGUAGCGGCGAGCGAACGGGGAGCAGCCCAGAGCCUGAAUCAGUGUGUGUGUUAGUGGAAGCGUCUGGAAAGGCGCGCGAUACAGGGUGACAGCCCCGUACACAAAAAUGCACAUACUGUGAGCUCGAUGAGUAGGGCGGGACACGUGGUAUCCUGUCUGAAUAUGGGGGGACCAUCCUCCAAGGCUAAAUACUCCUGACUGACCGAUAGUGAACCAGUACCGUGAGGGAAAGGCGAAAAGAACCCCGGCGAGGGGAGUGAAAAAGAACCUGAAACCGUGUACGUACAAGCAGUGGGAGCCUCUUUAUGGGGUGACUGCGUACCUUUUGUAUAAUGGGUCAGCGACUUAUAUUCUGUAGCAAGGUUAACCGAAUAGGGGAGCCGAAGGGAAACCGAGUCUUAACUGGGCGUUAAGUUGCAGGGUAUAGACCCGAAACCCGGUGAUCUAGCCAUGGGCAGGUUGAAGGUUGGGUAACACUAACUGGAGGACCGAACCGACUAAUGUUGAAAAAUUAGCGGAUGACUUGUGGCUGGGGGUGAAAGGCCAAUCAAACCGGGAGAUAGCUGGUUCUCCCCGAAAGCUAUUUAGGUAGCGCCUCGUGAAUUCAUCUCCGGGGGUAGAGCACUGUUUCGGCAAGGGGGUCAUCCCGACUUACCAACCCGAUGCAAACUGCGAAUACCGGAGAAUGUUAUCACGGGAGACACACGGCGGGUGCUAACGUCCGUCGUGAAGAGGGAAACAACCCAGACCGCCAGCUAAGGUCCCAAAGUCAUGGUUAAGUGGGAAACGAUGUGGGAAGGCCCAGACAGCCAGGAUGUUGGCUUAGAAGCAGCCAUCAUUUAAAGAAAGCGUAAUAGCUCACUGGUCGAGUCGGCCUGCGCGGAAGAUGUAACGGGGCUAAACCAUGCACCGAAGCUGCGGCAGCGACACUAUGUGUUGUUGGGUAGGGGAGCGUUCUGUAAGCCUGCGAAGGUGUACUGUGAGGUAUGCUGGAGGUAUCAGAAGUGCGAAUGCUGACAUAAGUAACGAUAAAGCGGGUGAAAAGCCCGCUCGCCGGAAGACCAAGGGUUCCUGUCCAACGUUAAUCGGGGCAGGGUGAGUCGACCCCUAAGGCGAGGCCGAAAGGCGUAGUCGAUGGGAAACAGGUUAAUAUUCCUGUACUUGGUGUUACUGCGAAGGGGGGACGGAGAAGGCUAUGUUGGCCGGGCGACGGUUGUCCCGGUUUAAGCGUGUAGGCUGGUUUUCCAGGCAAAUCCGGAAAAUCAAGGCUGAGGCGUGAUGACGAGGCACUACGGUGCUGAAGCAACAAAUGCCCUGCUUCCAGGAAAAGCCUCUAAGCAUCAGGUAACAUCAAAUCGUACCCCAAACCGACACAGGUGGUCAGGUAGAGAAUACCAAGGCGCUUGAGAGAACUCGGGUGAAGGAACUAGGCAAAAUGGUGCCGUAACUUCGGGAGAAGGCACGCUGAUAUGUAGGUGAAGCGACUUGCUCGUGGAGCUGAAAUCAGUCGAAGAUACCAGCUGGCUGCAACUGUUUAUUAAAAACACAGCACUGUGCAAACACGAAAGUGGACGUAUACGGUGUGACGCCUGCCCGGUGCCGGAAGGUUAAUUGAUGGGGUUAGCGGUAACGCGAAGCUCUUGAUCGAAGCCCCGGUAAACGGCGGCCGUAACUAUAACGGUCCUAAGGUAGCGAAAUUCCUUGUCGGGUAAGUUCCGACCUGCACGAAUGGCGUAAUGAUGGCCAGGCUGUCUCCACCCGAGACUCAGUGAAAUUGAACUCGCUGUGAAGAUGCAGUGUACCCGCGGCAAGACGGAAAGACCCCGUGAACCUUUACUAUAGCUUGACACUGAACAUUGAGCCUUGAUGUGUAGGAUAGGUGGGAGGCUUUGAAGUGUGGACGCCAGUCUGCAUGGAGCCGGCCUUGAAAUACCACCCUUUAAUGUUUGAUGUUCUAACGUUGGCCCCUGAUCGGGGUUGCGGACAGUGUCUGGUGGGUAGUUUGACUGGGGCGGUCUCCUCCUAAAGAGUAACGGAGGAGCACGAAGGUUGGCUAAUCCUGGUCGGACAUCAGGAGGUUAGUGCAAUGGCAUAAGCCAGCUUGACUGCGAGCGUGACGGCGCGAGCAGGUGCGAAAGCAGGUCAUAGUGAUCCGGUGGUUCUGAAUGGAAGGGCCAUCGCUCAACGGAUAAAAGGUACUCCGGGGAUAACAGGCUGAUACCGCCCAAGAGUUCAUAUCGACGGCGGUGUUUGGCACCUCGAUGUCGGCUCAUCACAUCCUGGGGCUGAAGUAGGUCCCAAGGGUAUGGCUGUUCGCCAUUUAAAGUGGUACGCGAGCUGGGUUUAGAACGUCGUGAGACAGUUCGGUCCCUAUCUGCCGUGGGCGCUGGAGAACUGAGGGGGGCUGCUCCUAGUACGAGAGGACCGGAGUGGACGCAUCACUGGUGUUCGGGUUGUCAUGCCAAUGGCACUGCCCGGUAGCUAAAUGCGGAAGAGAUAAGUGCUGAAAGCAUCUAAGCACGAAACUUGCCCCGAGAUGAGUUCUCCCUGACUCCUUGAGAGUCCUGAAGGAACGUUGAAGACGACGACGUUGAUAGGCCGGGUGUGUAAGCGCAGCGAUGCGUUGAGCUAACCGGUACUAAUGAACCGUGAGGCUUAACCUU